Molecule: ribosomal RNA, 402 nt
Filed under: uncultured bacterium
Lineage: Bacteria
Description: bacterial SSU rRNA
Rfam family: Bacterial small subunit ribosomal RNA
Source: RNAcentral
AGGGAAUCUUGCGCAAUGGGCGAAAGCCUGACGCAGCCAUGCCGCGUGAAUGAUGAAGGUCUUAGGAUUGUAAAAUUCUUUCACCGGGGAAGAUAAUGACGGUACCCGGAGAAGAAGCCCCGGCUAACUUCGUGCCAGCAGCCGCGGUAAUACGAAGGGGGCUAGCGUUGCUCGGAAUUACUGGGCGUAAAGGGCGCGUAGGCGGCCACCGCAAGUCGACUGUGAAAUCUCCGGGCUUAACUCGGAAAGGUCAGCCGAUACUGCGGGGCUAGAGUGCAGAAGGGGCAACUGGAAUUCUCGGUGUAGCGGUGAAAUGCGUAGAUAUCGAGAGGAACACCUGCGGCGAAGGCGGGUUGCUGGGCUGACACUGACGCUGAUUGUGCGAAAGCUAGGGGAGCGAAC